This 406-nucleotide ribosomal RNA is filed under the name uncultured bacterium. RNAcentral describes it as "bacterial SSU rRNA". It matches the Rfam family "Bacterial small subunit ribosomal RNA", at positions 356 to 774 of the family's 1533-position model. The record is from RNAcentral.
GGGGAAUAUUGCACAAUGGGCACAAGCCUGAUGCAGCAACGCCGCGUGAGGGACGACGGCCUUCGGGUUGUAAACCUCUUUUGGCAGGGAAGAAGCGAAGGUGACGGUACCUGCAGAAAAAGCACCGGCUAACUACGUGCCAGCAGCCGCGGUGAUACGUAGGGUGCAAGCGUUGUCCGGAAUUAUUGGGCGUAAAGAGCUCGUAGGCGGUUUGUCGCGUCUGCUGUGAAAACCCGAGGCUCAACCUCGGGCCUGCAGUGGGUACGGGCAAACUAGAGUGCGGUAGGGGAGAUUGGAAUUCCUGGUGUAGCGGUGGAAUGCGCAGAUAUCAGGAGGAACACCGAUGGCGAAGGCAGAUCUCUGGGCCGUAACUGACGCUGAGGAGCGAAGGCAUGGGGAGCGAACA